This 793-nucleotide long non-coding RNA is filed under the name Gallus gallus (chicken). RNAcentral's name for it is "lncRNA (ENSGALG00010004926.1)". Lineage: Eukaryota; Metazoa; Chordata; Aves; Galliformes; Phasianidae. The record is from RNAcentral.
UGUUGUGUGUCUUGAAUAUGCAAUUUUAUGCAAAUUUCUUGUAUGCACAGAAAGAAUGAAGCAAAGUAGUCUCUUAAUGUCCAGCCCUCCAUCCCUCAGGCUUCACAGUAGGAUCCUCACUUUUGGAACUGGAAUAUAACAUUAUGUUUCACUGCUUUUCUGAUUUUUGAGGAAGUGAGCAUGGAUUAACAGUUAAACGAUGCAAAUCUGCACUCUGACUGGCUUCUAGGUAUGUAAUUUACAGCAAACCUGAUGCUAGAAUCUCUAGUUUUUACAACAUUCAGAUGCAGAGCACAGGAGGCAGCAGAGACUAUACACAGAGAGCAGCAGGUAGAGGAGGGGCAGAGCAGCAGGCAUCUGCUACACUCUGGGACAGGUGGUCUGGAGCAAAUAAAUGGAUUGUUUUGACAUUUUUACUUAGGUACGAGGAAGGUGAGUGCAGGGAGUAGAAAGAGCAGAGAUAUCUGGACUGAGAACCAUAAAAGCUUGGAAAAGACCACUAAGACUACCUAACUGAACUAUCAACCCACCACCACCACCUUGCCCACUAAACCGUGUCCCUCCAUUCCACAUUUACACAUCAUCUCCAGGGACAGCGACUUCACCACCUCCCUGAAUUUGGGGUUUGGAAUGAAAGAGGAAUUGGUGCAGUAUGAGAAGAAACACCUACAAUAAGAUAUUUGGAGAGUUUGCUUUGACUCAUUUGGAAGAAACCUUGAGGAAGGUCAGCAGUCAUAGCUGAAACAUCACUUUCUUGAGUCACUGUCAAAAUAAACAAUUUAGGCUAGCACAG